CAGCAGCCGCGGUAAUACGGAGGGCGCGAGCGUUACCCGGAUUUACUGGGCGUAAAGGGCGUGUAGGCGGCCUGGGGCGUCCCAUGUGAAGGGCCACGGCUCAACCGUGGAGGAGCGUGGGAUACGCUCAGGCUAGAGGGUGGGAGAGGGUGGUGGAAUUCCCGGAGUAGCGGUGAAAUGCGCAGAUACCGGGAGGAACGCCGAUGGCGAAGGCAGCCACCUGGUCCACUUCUGACGCUGAGGCGCGAAAGCGUGGGGAGCAAACCGGAUUAGAUACCCCCGUAGUCCCUGUCUCUUAUAC
This 301-nucleotide ribosomal RNA is filed under the name uncultured bacterium. Its description in RNAcentral is "partial 16S ribosomal RNA". It matches the Rfam family "Bacterial small subunit ribosomal RNA", at positions 509 to 807 of the family's 1533-position model. The record is from RNAcentral.